GCUUGUCUCAAGACUAAGCCAUGCAUGUCCAAGUAUAAACGCCGUUAUACUGUGAAACUGCGAAUGGCUCAUUAAAUCAGUUAUAGUUUAUUUGAUGGUUGAAUGCUACUUGGAUAACCGUAGUAAUUCUAGAGCUAAUACAUGCAGAAAGUCCCGACUUCCGGAAGGGAUGUAUUUAUUAGAUCCAAAACCAGCGCGGGUCUCCUCGUGGGGCUCGGUUGCUCGGUGAUUCAUGAUUACUCCUCGAAUCGUACGGCCUCGCGCCGGCGAUGAUCCAUUCAAAUUUCUGCCCUAUCAACUUUCGAUGGUACGGUAGUGGCCUACCAUGGUUGCAACGGGUGACGGAGAAUUAGGGUUCGAUUCCGGAGAGGGAGCCUGAGAAACGGCUACCACAUCCAAGGAAGGCAGCAGGCGCGCAAAUUACCCAAUCCCGACUCGGGGAGGUAGUGACAAUAAAUAACAAUGCCGGGCUAUGUUAGUCUGGCAAUUGGAAUGAGUACAAUCUAAACCCCUUAACGAGGAACAAUUGGAGGGCAAGUCUGGUGCCAGCAGCCGCGGUAAUUCCAGCUCCAAUAGCGUAUAUUAAAGUUGUUGCAGUUAAAAAGCUCGUAGUUGGAUUUCGGGGCAGCCCGGCCGGUCCGUCGCGAGGCGAGUACUGGUCGCGCGCCCUUCCUCUCGGAGGCCCCGACUGCUCUUCAUUGCAGUGGUCGGGGAGUUCGGGACGUUUACUUUGAAAAAAUUAGAGUGUUCAAGGCAGGCCGUCGCCUGAAUACAUUAGCAUGGAAUAAUGGAAGAGGACCUCGGUCCUAUUUUGUUGGUUUCCAGGGCCGAAGUAAUGAUUAAGAGGGACAGUUGGGGGCAUUCGUAUUUAAUUGUCAGAGGUGAAAUUCUCGGAUUUAUGAAAGACGAACAAGUGCGAAAGCAUUUGCCAAGGAUGUUUUCAUUAAUCAAGAACGAAAGUUGGGGGUUCGA
Molecule: ribosomal RNA, 972 nt
Filed under: Desmanthus incrustans
Lineage: Eukaryota; Metazoa; Porifera; Demospongiae; Bubarida; Desmanthidae
Description: SSU rRNA
Rfam family: Eukaryotic small subunit ribosomal RNA
Source: RNAcentral